GAUGCGAAGAACCUUACCAGCCCUUGACAUCCCGAUCGCGGUUACCAGAGAUGGUAUCCUUCAGUUAGGCUGGAUCGGUGACAGGUGCUGCAUGGCUGUCGUCAGCUCGUGUCGUGAGAUGUUGGGUUAAGUCCCGCAACGAGCGCAACCCUCGCCCUUAGUUGCCAUCAUUCAGUUGGGCACUCUAAGGGGACUGCCGGUGAUAAGCCGAGAGGAAGGUGGGGAUGACGUCAAGUCCUCAUGGCCCUUACGGGCUGGGCUACACACGUGCUACAAUGGUGGUGACAGUGGGCAGCGAGACCGCGAGGUCGAGCUAAUCUCCAAAAGCCAUCUCAGUUCGGAUUGCACUCUGCAACUCGAGUGCAUGAAGUUGGAAUCGCUAGUAAUCGUGGAUCAGAAUGCCACGGUGAAUACGUUCCCGGGCCUUGUACACACC
This 436-nucleotide ribosomal RNA is filed under the name uncultured Phyllobacterium sp. RNAcentral's name for it is "bacterial SSU rRNA". It matches the Rfam family "Bacterial small subunit ribosomal RNA", at positions 958 to 1391 of the family's 1533-position model. The record is from RNAcentral. Lineage: Bacteria; Pseudomonadati; Pseudomonadota; Alphaproteobacteria; Hyphomicrobiales; Phyllobacteriaceae.